CCUAUGGAGUGUACUAGAACUUGUGAGUAGCAAAUUACUUGUAAUUGCAAAAGCAUACACGAAGAAGUAGGAA
RNAcentral lists this non-coding RNA (73 nucleotides) under unclassified sequences. Its description in RNAcentral is "RAGATH-18 RNA". It matches the Rfam family "RAGATH-18 RNA". Rfam says of the family: Actinobacteria, Firmicutes, Fusobacteria, Thermotogae (1 example). The record is from Rfam by way of RNAcentral.